AGUCGAGGGGGCGGCAGCAGAGACAUGAAGUCGAGCGCGGGAAGCAACAGAUCUCCUUCGGGAGUGACGCUUGCUCUCGGAUGACGAGCGGCGGACGGGUGAGUAACAUCGUGGGCAAACUACCUGUAAGGACGGGGAUAACUACGGGAAACCGGGAGCUAAUACCGCAUGAAACAAAGCGUCGCAAGACGCAAAGUUAAAAGGCGGACAUAUCGGGCCGUCAUGCCAUACAGAUGGGCCCAGAUGGCGCAUUAGCUAGUAGGUGAGGUAAAGGCUCACCAAGGCAACGAUCCCUAGCCGACCUGAGAGGAUGACCAGCCACACUGGAACUGAGACACGGCCCAGACUCCUACGGGAGGCAGCAGUAGGGAAUAUUCCACAAUGGACGAAAGCCUGACGCAGCAACGCCGCGUGAGUGAAGAAGGCCUUCGGAUCGUAAAACACUGUUCAGCGAGGGAAGAAGGCGAUAAGUGCCAUUCGAAUAACCUUGGCGACCUUGACGGUACCUAACGCAGAAGAAGCACCGGCUAACUACGUGCCAGCAGCCGCGGUAAUACGGAGGGGGCAAGCGUUAAUCCGGAAUUACUGGGCGUAAAGCGCACGCAGGCGGUCCUGUCAAGUCGGAUGUGAAAGCCCACGGGCUCAACCGUGGAGAACUGCAUUCGAAACUGGCAGGACUAGAGUACAUGAAGAGGAGAGUAGAAUUCCACGUGUAGCGGUGAAAUGCGUAGAGAUCUGGAGGAACACCAGUGGCGAAGGCGACCCCCUGGACAAUAGACUGACGCUCAGGUGCGAAAGCGUGGGGAGCAAACAGGAUUAGAUACCCUGGUAGUCCACGCCGUAAACGAUGAGUGCGAGGUGUUAAGGAGGGUUGUCCGCCCCUUGAGGCGUGGCUUCCGAAGCUAACGCAUUAAAUCGACUCCGCCUGGGGGAGUACGGCCGCAAGGCUAAAACUCAAAAGAAUUGACGGGGACCCGCACAAGCGGUGGAGCCAGGUGGUUUAAUUCGAAGCAACGCGAAGAACCUUACCAGGUCUUGACAUCCACAGACACCUUCCUAGAGAUAGGGCAUUCGUGCCUUCGGGAACAGAGAGACAGGUGCUUGCAUGGCUGUCGUCAGCUCGUGUCGUGAGAAUGUUUGGGUUAAGUCCCGCAACGAGCGCAACCCUUGAUCCUUAGUUGCCAGCAGUUAGGCCGGGAACUCAAAGGAGACUGCCAGUGACAAACCGGAGGAAAAGGUGGGGGAUGACGUCAAAUCAUCAUGCCCCUUACGACCAGGGCUACACACGUGGCUACAAUGGCAUAUGGACAAAGAGAAGCGACCUCGCGAGAGCAAGCGGACCUCAUAAAGUAUGUCGUAGUCCGGAUUGGAGUCUGCAACUCGACUCCAUGAAGUCGGAAUCGCUAGUAAUCGUAGAUCAGAAUGCUACGGUGAAUACGUUCCCGGGCCUUGUACACACCGCCCGUCACACCAUGGGAGUGGGUUCAAUAAGAAGUAG
Molecule: ribosomal RNA, 1498 nt
Filed under: Klebsiella pneumoniae
Lineage: Bacteria; Pseudomonadati; Pseudomonadota; Gammaproteobacteria; Enterobacterales; Enterobacteriaceae
Description: bacterial SSU rRNA
Rfam family: Bacterial small subunit ribosomal RNA
Source: RNAcentral